This 1342-nucleotide long non-coding RNA is filed under the name Homo sapiens (human). RNAcentral describes it as "HSALNT0217840". The record is from RNAcentral. Lineage: Eukaryota; Metazoa; Chordata; Mammalia; Primates; Hominidae.
CUGCAGGCCAUGGUUUCCCAUCAAAAGCCUGUUCUCUCUCAGUUCUAAAGGUUGGAUGUCCGAGAUCAGGCCAGGGCAGGGCUGGUUUCCCCUGAGGCCUCGUUCCUUGGCCGUCUUCUCCCUGUGUCUUCACAAUGUUUUCCUCUGUGAGUGUAGGGAUCCCAAUCCCCUCUUCUGAAAGGAUGUGGCCAGACUGGAUGAGGGCUCGGCCCUAUGACCUCAUUUUAACUAACCACCUUGUAAAGGCCCUGUCUGCAAACACAGUCACAUUCUGAGGUGCUGGGGACUAUGGAUUUUGCGGGGACAUGGUUUAGUCCAUAGCAAUGUCCAGCACCAAAGUUUUGCCAUGUGCCCUUGAACGGAGCUACCUCCUGGCCCACCUUCUUGGGCACUGCUCUUGCUCCAACAUUGAGUUUAGUCCUUGAAGUCAUAAUUUCCUCUUUAGCCUUUGUAGUCUGUCACCCAUGAAAUCCUAGAAUUUCUGUUGCUAUCGGUAUGUCCGAUCUUUCUCCAUUUUAAAAUAGUUUCUCCCUGGCUUGCUGCGGUUCCGGCCCAUGGUGCUGUGUGCACAUGCAGAUAUAUACCCUUCUCAGUGGCAGUGGCCUCAUCUGCCUCUUUGUCUCAGAAGCCAUUCUGCACACCAUCUCUUCUUCCCUCCCUCCUGCCAUCCCUACAUUCUUUCCUUCGCUCCAUCCCAUCUUCCCACCUCACGCCCACUCUCCCCUUAAUACUUCACACUUGCUGAGAUGCUUCUGUAAAGCUGAGCUAAAUCACAGUAUUAAUUAUUUUCCCCUGCUUAAUCACCUUCAGAGGCAGCCCAGGAUGUGUUGAGUUACAUCGACUGCACAGCCCAUGUCUCUUCCACUUGGCUGUUCAGCGUGAUCUCCCCUCUCCUCGACACGGCCAGCCCACACCGGCCUCCGUGGCCGCCCUCCCCAUGGCAGGCAGGGAUGGAGGCAGGCUGAGGCACCUGUCCUCUGAGGCCUGCGGAGGCUCUCUCUCCUGUGCUUCUCUGAGGAUGUCGCUCCGCCCUACUCAAGGAGUACUAGACCCCUCUGUCUGCUGAGGUCAGCAUCCCAGAACACGGCUCCAGCUGACGAUUGCACUUGGCACCCAUAUCCUCCGUGCGACAACCUGGUGUCAGCAGUCUCGGAGCAGAGGUCUCCUCUGCACCCUCUUUAAUCCAGCAGCGUUCCUCAGAGCUCAGGAGCCACUCUGGACUUUUCUGGGCAACAUGAGGGCAGCUUUCUCAAAGCCCCUUCACCAGGGCCCGCAGCAGCAGCGGAGAGCAGACCUACAGGUACCAACAAAUUCUACCGUAGGAGAGGAGUUUUUGAAAAAG